AGAGUUUGAUCCUGGCUCAGGAUGAACGCUGGCGGCGUGCCUAACACAUGCAAGUCGAACGGAGUUACGAUGAAACCUAGUGAUUCGUAACUUAGUGGCGGACGGGUGAGUAACGCGUGGAUAACCUGCCUUGCACUGGGGGAUAACACUUAGAAAUAGGUGCUAAUACCGCAUAAGCGCACGGAGCCGCAUGGCUCAGUGUGAAAAACUCCGGUGGUGUAAGAUGGAUCCGCGUCUGAUUAGCUGGUUGGCGGGGUAGAAGCCCACCAAGGCGACGAUCAGUAGCCGGCCUGAGAGGGUGAACGGCCACAUUGGGACUGAGACACGGCCCAAACUCCUACGGGAGGCAGCAGUGGGGAAUACUGCACAAUGGGGGAAACCCUGAUGCAGCAACGCCGCGUGAGUGAAGAAGUCAUUCGUGAUGUAAAGCUCUAUCAGCAGGGAAGAAAAUGACGGUACCUGAGUAAGAAGCCCCGGCUAACUACGUG
This 488-nucleotide ribosomal RNA is filed under the name uncultured Lachnospiraceae bacterium. Its description in RNAcentral is "bacterial SSU rRNA". It matches the Rfam family "Bacterial small subunit ribosomal RNA", at positions 8 to 507 of the family's 1533-position model. Lineage: Bacteria; Bacillati; Bacillota; Clostridia; Lachnospirales; Lachnospiraceae. The record is from RNAcentral.